Molecule: transfer RNA, 86 nt
Filed under: Oryzias latipes (Japanese medaka)
Lineage: Eukaryota; Metazoa; Chordata; Actinopteri; Beloniformes; Adrianichthyidae
Rfam family: tRNA
About the family: Transfer RNA (tRNA) molecules are approximately 80 nucleotides in length.
Source: Rfam by way of RNAcentral
CCUUCGAUAGCUCAGUUGGUAGAGCGGAGGACUGUAGAGGUUGAGCGGAUAUCCUUAGGUCGCUGGUUCGAAUCCGGCUCGAAGGA